RNAcentral lists this ribosomal RNA (502 nucleotides) under uncultured bacterium. Its description in RNAcentral is "bacterial SSU rRNA". It matches the Rfam family "Bacterial small subunit ribosomal RNA", at positions 30 to 527 of the family's 1533-position model. The record is from RNAcentral.
AUUGAACGCUGGCGGCAUGCCUUACACAUGCAAGUCGAACGGUAACAGGUCUUCGGAUGCUGACGAGUGGCGAACGGGUGAGUAAUACAUCGGAACGUGCCCGAGAGUGGGGGAUAACGCAGCGAAAGCUGUGCUAAUACCGCAUACGAUCUACGGAUGAAAGCAGGGGAUUCGCAAGGACCUUGCGCUCAUGGAGCGGCCGAUGGCAGAUUAGGUAGUUGGUGGGAUAAAAGCUUACCAAGCCGACGAUCUGUAGCUGGUCUGAGAGGACGACCAGCCACACUGGGACUGAGACACGGCCCAGACUCCUACGGGAGGCAGCAGUGGGGAAUUUUGGACAAUGGGGAAACCCUGAUCCAGCCAUGCCGCGUGCAGGAUGAAGGCCUUCGGGUUGUAAACUGCUUUUGUACGGAACGAAAAGGUCUUUUCUAAUAAAGAAGGCCCAUGACGGUACCGUAAGAAUAAGCACCGGCUAACUACGUGCCAGCAGCCGCGGUAAACG